UACGAAGGGGGCGAGCGUUGUUCGGAAUUACUGGGCGUAAAGGGCGCGCAGGCGGCUCAGACAGUCAGAUGUGAAAGCCCCGGGCUUAACCUGGGAACUGCAUUUGAUACUACUGAGCUUGAGUACGGGAGAGGAUAGUGGAAUUCCCAGUGUAGAGGUGAAAUUCGUAGAUAUUGGGAAGAACACCGGUGGCGAAGGCGGCUAUCUGGACCGUAACUGACGCUGAGGCGCGAAAGCGUGGGGAGCAAACAGG
This 253-nucleotide ribosomal RNA is filed under the name uncultured bacterium. RNAcentral describes it as "partial 16S ribosomal RNA". It matches the Rfam family "Bacterial small subunit ribosomal RNA", at positions 524 to 776 of the family's 1533-position model. The record is from RNAcentral.